RNAcentral lists this ribosomal RNA (553 nucleotides) under Alternaria alternata. RNAcentral's name for it is "eukaryotic LSU rRNA". The stretch from base 198 to 351 matches the Rfam family "5.8S ribosomal RNA". Lineage: Eukaryota; Fungi; Ascomycota; Dothideomycetes; Pleosporales; Pleosporaceae. The record is from RNAcentral.
UCUCCGUAGGUGAACCUGCGGAGGGAUCAUUACACAAAUAUGAAGGCGGGCUGGAACCUCUCGGGGUUACAGCCUUGCUGAAUUAUUCACCCUUGUCUUUUGCGUACUUCUUGUUUCCUUGGUGGGUUCGCCCACCACUAGGACAAACAUAAACCUUUUGUAAUUGCAAUCAGCGUCAGUAACAAAUUAAUAAUUACAACUUUCAACAACGGAUCUCUUGGUUCUGGCAUCGAUGAAGAACGCAGCGAAAUGCGAUAAGUAGUGUGAAUUGCAGAAUUCAGUGAAUCAUCGAAUCUUUGAACGCACAUUGCGCCCUUUGGUAUUCCAAAGGGCAUGCCUGUUCGAGCGUCAUUUGUACCCUCAAGCUUUGCUUGGUGUUGGGCGUCUUGUCUCUAGCUUUGCUGGAGACUCGCCUUAAAGUAAUUGGCAGCCGGCCUACUGGUUUCGGAGCGCAGCACAAGUCGCACUCUCUAUCAGCAAAGGUCUAGCAUCCAUUAAGCCUUUUUUUCAACUUUUGACCUCGGAUCAGGUAGGGAUACCCGCUGAACUUAAG